GGGGAAUAUUGGACAAUGGGGGCAACCCUGAUCCAGCAAUGCCGCGUGUGUGAAGAAGGCCUGAGGGUUGUAAAGCACUUUCAGUGGGGAGGAGGGUUAUCGGGUUAAGAGCUGGAUAAUUGGACGUUACCCACAGAAGAAGCACCGGCUAACUCCGUGCCAGCAGCCGCGGUAAUACGGAGGGUGCGAGCGUUAAUCGGAAUUACUGGGCGUAAAGGGUGCGUAGGUGGUUAGAUAAGUUAUCUGUGAAAUUCCUGGGCUCAACCUGGGCAGGUCAGAUGAUACUGUUUAACUCGAGUAUGGGAGAGGGUAGUGGAAUUUCCGGUGUAGCGGUGAAAUGCGUAGAGAUCGGAAGGAACACCAGUGGCGAAGGCGGCUACCUGGCCUAAUACUGACACUGAGGCACGAAAGCGUGGGGAGCAAAC
RNAcentral lists this ribosomal RNA (425 nucleotides) under uncultured bacterium. Its description in RNAcentral is "bacterial SSU rRNA". It matches the Rfam family "Bacterial small subunit ribosomal RNA", at positions 356 to 773 of the family's 1533-position model. The record is from RNAcentral.